CACGUGGGUGACCUGCCCCGAAGUGCGGCAUAACAGGGGGAAACUCUUGCUAAUUCCGCAUGUGCUCCCACCUCUUGUGGUGUGAGUAAAGAUUUAUCGCUUCGGGAUGGGCCCGCGGUCCAUCAGCUAGUUGGUAGGGUAAUGGCCUACCAAGGCUACGACGGAUAGCCGGCCUGAGAGGGUGAUCGGCCACAGGGGCACUGAGACACGGGCCCC
Molecule: ribosomal RNA, 216 nt
Filed under: uncultured bacterium
Lineage: Bacteria
Description: partial 16S ribosomal RNA
Rfam family: Bacterial small subunit ribosomal RNA
Source: RNAcentral